AUGCUCAAGAGAAAUUUUGGCCCUUUCCUUAAUGACCUAGAAGAAUCUCAGAUGAGGGUCUUUCCCAGGGAAGGAUUGGUACCAGUGAUCAAUGUUCUCCAAGUGACCCAUCUGUAUGGCAGGUUCUGGAGGCUACAAGUGCAAGAGCAAGAUGUGGCCGGUUUGCUCCCAGGGAGCUCACUGCAGGCUGGUUCUCUGGUUGUCUUCCUACUGGGGCCUCACGUGGUAGAGAACAUCAUCUCUCUGGAGUCUCUUUUAGGAUGACAUUUCCACUAAAUGGAGCAUGGUUGAUGAGAUUACAAAAUAGUUCAAGUCCAGAUAGAUCGUAGAUCUGAUUGUGGGAGUUAAAACAGAAAAGUAUUAUACAAAGAAAAAAAAGAGAGAAGCAUUUCAAAGAAGAUACAGGGUUCGCCACUGCUGCUGAUGUCAUCCAGCCCGAUGGAACUGCCACCGUCCACCUGCUCCCCUGCAGGGGACACACCUGAUCUGAAUCAUGUUUUUGGAAGAGCACUCUGGCUGCUGUAUGGAGUCUGGCCCACUGAGGAGAUCACAGGAAUAAGGCCACAGGUGUAAUGGGCUGAACUGUGUCACCUAAAUUUAUAUGUCAGGGUCCUAAUCACUAGGACCUCAGAUUGUGACUCUAUUUGGAGAGGGGGCCUUUCCAGAGGUGAUUAAGGUAAAAUGCAGUCAUUCAGCUGGGCCCUGACCCAAUGAGACUGGUGUCCUUAUAAGGAAAGGAGGUGAGAACCCAGAUAAACUCAGAGAGGACACCACUGAGGACAUAGAGAGAAGAUGGUCAUGUCCACGCCCAGGAUGGGGGCCUCAGAGGGACCAGCCCCGCCCACGCCUGGAUCUGACCUCCAGCCUCCAGGAUGGGAGAUACUACGUGUUAGUGCUGUUGAAGCCACGCUGUCUGUGGGAUGUUGUAAUGACAGCCCUUCCGGGAUAAUCCACGGAGCCCCCGGUAGAUGUGAAGCAUUCCAGCAGGUGUUCAGAUUCCUUGAUUUACCUCUUUGAAGGACCCUCGAGGAUAGCAUUGCAAUAAAGGAACGAGCAGGAAUAGUGAUGAAGAACA
This 1075-nucleotide long non-coding RNA is filed under the name Vulpes vulpes (red fox). Its description in RNAcentral is "lncRNA (ENSVVUG00000021679.1)". The record is from RNAcentral. Lineage: Eukaryota; Metazoa; Chordata; Mammalia; Carnivora; Canidae.